Brassica rapa (field mustard) is the source of this 14884-nucleotide RNA transcript. It is a transcript of the gene named LRR receptor-like serine/threonine-protein kinase FLS2, with no coding region annotated. The record is from RefSeq and is a predicted model, not a curated record. NCBI's taxonomy places the organism in Eukaryota, Viridiplantae, Streptophyta, Magnoliopsida, Brassicales, Brassicaceae.
UAUUAUUGACAAUUGCCCUUUUUAUUUCACUAAAUAUAAAACAUACAUAAAAAACAAAUGUAACCAACCAUUUUAACAAAAUGUUAAUUCCAAUUUUUUUUUAAAAAAAAAAAUUCUAAUCAUUAUAAAUAUCAUUAAAAUUUUAAAUUAGUAUAUUGUGAUUUAUAAAAAAUAAAAAUUCUACAAAUUUUUAAUUAUAUUUUAAACAUAAUAAAAAUUUAAAUUUCUUAAGUAUUUAAAAAACAUUCUACAAAGACUUUAAAUUUCUUAAGUAUUGAAAGUACAUUCUACAAAGACUUUAAAAAGAUCUUUCUUAGAAAAAAAUAACAUUUAUGUUUCAAAUAUAAAAAUAAAAUAUCUAUUCUAUUAAAAUAGAAGUCACAACUUCAUUUCAUGUGUGAUAUUCUAAGUUGAACCAUUAUUUAGAAAGUUUAUCAAAUGUACAUAACAUUAUUAUAAUACCUUUUAAUAUAUUUAUUUUUAUUUAAAAUAAAAUAAAUAUUUAUUUAAGAAAAUUUUAACAAUAUUUUUUAAAAAUCUUUUCAGAAUCAUUUUAAUUUUUUUCCGAAAAUUGAUUAAUUUAAAUUUAAUUUUCAUAAAAUAUAAUAGGAAAUUUAAAUUUAGUUUAGUUUUGAUUUAUAAACAAAAAUUAAAAAUUAUAUAAAUUUUUUUAAUGAUAAUAACAACUUACAAUUAUUAUUUUUCAAAAAUACAUUUUACAAUUAGUUUACCGAUUUUGAAAGAGCUAAAUCGGUUUGUUCAUGUUGGCAAUCUGGUUGAAACCAACCAUUUUGGUUUUAUUAAAUAUUUUGGAAAAUGAUCUUUUACUUUUUUAAUAUAUGUGUCUAGAUGUAUCCUGAAUGAUUAUGGAUAUGAAUAGAAAAAUCCUUUUUUACAUUAUAUAGAAAAGCUGCAAACAUAUUUUCAAUUGGAUUAUUGUAGGAUUUGGUUAUAACAAUAUAAUAAGUACUGUUAUAUAUUAUAUAAAUUUGAUUAAGGGAGAAAGUUUGAAUGUGACCACCUGAUUGGAUUGCAUCAUUGCUUCUGUCACUUGUUGGAAAAAAAAACUUGUCUUGCGAGGUAAAUUAUGUUGCAUGUUUUAGUGUACAAUAAGAUUAGUCAAAGUGUUUUUGAAAUUGUGAAAGAAGUUCGUAAAAAUAACUCCAUCUAUUUCAUAAAAUUACAUAUUUUUUAAAAAAAUAUUUGUUUAAAAAAUACAUUUUUUAUAUUUUCAAUGCAUGUUUUAUUAAAUACCAAUGAUUAAUUAAAAGUUUCAUAAAACUUUCACUUUUUGAUUUCUACUGGUUUAUAAUUAUGAAAAAAUAAUCGUAUAAAAAUUAUGCAUUAUUAGAUGUUUUAUUAAUAUGUGUGAAAAAUCUAAAAUAUGCAUAAUAUUGAAACAGAAGAAAUAUUAAUUAUUUUAAUGAUGUUGAUGUCUCUUGAAUUAUUUGAGUAGUUGAUUUAAAAUUAUUGAAGCUAAACCAAGUCUCAACAAUUUUUUGUUUUGUUCUGUUUGGUUCACCAAGUUCUCUUCUCAGCAAUUGUGGCGAUAUGCAUUUUCAUAAUAUUUUAAUUAGUCACCAAUUAGGUUUCAUUGGAGGUUGAUGAUUUUGUUUAAAGUAUAUAAACAUUGAUUAGUAUUGAAGUUUGACAACUAUAUGACUUCCUAAGGACUUAAAAUUUGUAAACUAAGACAAACUAACAUUUGUGAUUUGUAUACGAACACAGAUCUACUAGUGUUGACAAAAAAGACGAACACAAACUAGCUACAAAAGUACAAUCUUUGACAUAAUUAUCGGAUUUUUGUAUACCGUAAAUUAAUUUUACGCUUAGGAAUAUAUCAAUGUCGGCAAUAACACAAUCAUCCAUAUAUAAUUAAAUGUUUAUAACUAAACUGAAAAGAGUUUGAAAGCAAAAGAAAAUAAAAAAAAACUUGUAAAAAGAAAAACUGCACAGAUCCUAUUCAGUGUUAUUAGGCUAACAAUUCUCACUUAUUUUAUUUGUUAGCCAUUUGAUCAUUGUGGUCCUGCUGCAUUUUCGAUGGACCACAAGUUGUUCACCGAAAGGGGACCAUCUAUUUAGAUUUGACUUAAAGAUUUUCCUCAAAAUAUAUAACAUAUGUUCUAUGGGUUUUCACUAUAUGUCCGUACACUCCCUAUAUAAUUAUGCACUGCCCAUUUUUCUUUAUUAUCUCCAUGACCAUGAAUCAUCCCUACGAUGAUUUCCCUAAUCUCUUAUUCUCUAACAACACAGCCACAGCCACAAGCACCUCCUCCUGUGUGGAGCAACAUGAUGGCAUCAUCUCUCUUGAUAUGGAUUGGGACUGUGACUUCCACGAUCUCAUUGAAUCUAUGAUGAGUGAUAAAGGAGCCACAACAGAAUCUCCUCCAAUACUGCCUUGUUACCAUGGCCAAGAGGGAAUUUUUAACUCUUCAUCCACAGGUUUGUCCAUGGCUGAUGAGCUUGAUCAUGAUGUAGAGGCAGAUGAAUCAAAGGGAUUGAGGUUGGUUCACUUACUGGUGGCUGCUGCAGAUGCAUCAAUUGGCGCCGACAAAACCCGAGAGCUAACUCGGGUCUUACUUGCAAAGCUAAAGGAUAUGACUUCAACCAAUGACCGAACCAACAUGGAGAGAUUAGCUGCUCACUUCACCAAUGGCCUCUCAAAGUUGCACAAAGAAGCCAAUGUUCAACGGCAGUAUGGUCCCCACCAACACCCUGAUGUUCAUGACCGGGUGGACGUGAUGUUGGCGUUCCAAAUGCUGCAGAAUAUGUCUCCUUACAUCAACUUUGGUUACCUAACCGCCACACAGGCUAUUCUUGAAGCUGUACAGUAUGAGCGGCGAAUCCAUAUUGUGGACUACGAUAUCACAGAUGGUGUUCAAUGGCCCUCCUUGAUGCAGGCCUUGGUGUCUAGAAACACAGGUCCUUCGGCCCAGCAUCUUAGGAUCACGGCUUUGUCACGCGCCACAAACGGUAAAAAAUCAGUUGCUGCCGUCCAAGAGGCUGGACGUCGUCUAACCGCGUUCGCGGAAUCCAUAGGGCAGCCUUUCUCUUACCACCAUUGUAGAAUGGACAGCGACACAUUCAACCCAUCGUCCUUAAAGCUUGUCAGAGGAGAAGCAGUGGUGAUCAAUUGUGUGUUGCAUCUCCCUCGGUUUAGUCACCAACCACCCAAUUCCAUUAUUUCCUUUUUAUCGGAAGCUAAAACACUAAAUCCGAAACUUGUAACGCUUGUUCACGAAGAAGUUGGUCUAGUGGGAAACCAAGGCUUCCUUUAUCGGUUUAUGGACUUGCUACAUCAGUUUUCAGCCAUAUUCGACUCUCUAGAGGCAGGCCCAGCUCGUGGAUUUGUUGAGCGUGUUAUUUUUGGACCUUGGGUUUCGGGUUGGUUGACACGUAUAGCUAUUACUGCUGAGGUGGAGAGUUUUGCUUCAUGGCCGCUGUGGUUAGCUACUAAUGGGUUUAAACCUGUGGAAGUCAGCUUUGCCAACCGUUGUCAAGCGAAGCUCCUUUUGAGCUUGUUUAACGAUGGGUAUGGAGUGGAAGAAUUAGGCCAAAACGGGCUCGUUUUGGGAUGGAAAUCCCGACGUCUUGUGUCGGCCUCUUUUUGGGCCUCGUGCGAGUCGAGUGAGUAAGAUUCUCUAUAUAAUACCAUACAUACAUGAGUUGUAUAUGAAGACACUAAUUAUGUAAAUAUCAAAAAUCUUUUUUUUUUGUGAAUGUGGAAACUGAACUCGAACCCAAACCAAAAAUUAUAAAUUCCAAUUUAGUUUCAAAUAUUUAUAAACCUAAAGAUUCAGAUCCGAUAGAAACCGACUUAAUUUCGAUCUGAAAUCUGAAUCUCCAGAUGUAAUACACACCAUGCUUAAAAUCAAGAAACACAUGCUCUUGGGAGAUUUAAAAACACAUGUUAAACUUACCUGUUGAAAUUACCAAAAUAUCACUAAAAGGAUACUGAAACAAACAACAUUUUCGCUCUUAGACAUGUUAAUCUUUUAUUUCUGACUGAUUCUUUAUUGCUUGAAUGUUGUAUGUACCUACUCUUCUCCAUAUUUUGAAACUAAUCAAGUGAUUUGAUUAAUAGGUGAUUGGUAGAAAAGCAUAAAAUAAAUAAGUUUCAAAAAAGCAUAAAAUAAAUAAGUUUCAAAAAGGCAUAAAAUAUAAUAUUAUAUAAAACUAUGUAAUAUAUAUAAUUCUUUGAAAUUAUCUUUAUUGACAUCUAUAAUCAUUACUUAUAAUUUUAUAUAAAACCUUGGAUACCAAUAAUAAUAUUUUUAUUAAUUAAAAAUCCAUAAAACAUUUGUUACCUUGUAAAAAUAAACGUAUACAAUCAAUAAUAAAAACAGUCGAGUAUAUUAUAGAUUAAAAAGAUAAACAGAAGUAAAUAAAGUAACACAUAACAAUUUCUCAAAGCUUUUGUUCGUGAAUCUUGUGUUUAUUUUGUUGCACCUCAAACUAUUGUAUAUGUUUCUACUUGCUCUUUGAUGGGAUUACAAGAUGCAAAAAUUAAAUGACUCAAGAGUUGAAGUCAAAUGCAUACAUAAUCUCUUUUUGCCAACAUGUAUUUUGCCAUAAACUUCAAUAUAAUCCUUAAUUUUUUUCAAUAUUUACAAAAAUAUCAUUAUAAUAUUAUUUUAAUUUAUUUUUUAAAUUAGAAAAAGUAAUUUUCUUUUUAUCAUGUACGUGAAUCCGACUCCCACAUUCAAAUGGACGAGAAGGCUUCCGAAGAUCUUGACCGUUGACCAAAUGGGAAGAUAAUGUUUCCAAUUUUAGCUUUUGAUUCUCACGGCCUAAGGGCAUCUGCAUCAAUGAACUUUUAAGGGGGUCAUAAUUUUAAUUUUUUAUUAUUUUUUUUUUAUUUUUUCGUUUGAUUUUUUCUAAAAAAAAAAAAAAAAAAAAAAUAAUCGGACCAAUCGCAGGCCGCCACGUGGCGUGGGGCCCGCGUUACAGGGGUGAACUCGUAUUAGUGGAGAGAGCUCACACGAGCUGGGUUCAUAAUUUGUGGAUUAUUAUAAUAGUUUUUUUUUUUGGGAAUUGUGUGAACUUUAUACUUAACCCCUUGAUGCGGGUGCUCUAAUGUCUUCUUCUGGGAUUUCGGCUCUACAUAUGAAAGAGCCAUUUUCACUAUGCUUAACUGGGAAGAGACCCGAGUUUAAUUGCAUCAUUGGCUGAGUUGCCGGAAUAACUGUCACAGCCUAACGACUGAUCUCCAUCUCGACAGUUCUGUCAUCCCUUUUAUCUACGGCAGACUAAUUGUCUCCAUAUAUCUGAAACGUUGUCUCUGGAGAUCAGAUUAGCUGGAGCUGGUCAAUAUCUAACCCAGCAAAUAUCAGACAAAGCUUCUCGAUGACCCUUCAUUGAAUUAUCGACUAAAUUGGAACUGCCAAAAAAAUCUGGGUCUGGCCCUGGCGACAACGCAUUAUCUUUCCCUUUGCUUGAGCAUUUAGGGAUUGAAGACCUUGUUCUUUACGAAGAACAUGUGAAGAACUGAAGCAGAUUGGAGAAAUUGGACAGAUUCACAGUAGUAAGCCAGAAACAAAAGCGAAAAAGAAGAGACAGUGUUAGAGAGAGAAACUACCUUUUGAAUCGCAGGAAGAAAUGAAGAAAUGAGAGUGUAUUACUCUACGUAUGGGCUAAGGCGUGAUAAAUAAGGAAGCGUAACCAUUAACAAUCCCAAGUAAACUGGGACCCGGUUUGUGAUUAAAAUCAUUAGUUCUCAUUAACCAGGAUUUCAAACGGUUCAUGGUUAAACAUCAAUUCUAUAUUCUUGGGAAUUAUUUUUGUAAAUUCAUCGAGAUCGACUUCACCUCUCAUAAUGAAUUAGGGAGACUUAUCGUUGGAGAUAGAUCACAAUGUUCCUGAGUGUAUAUCCAUCGAAUAAACAGAACUCAAUCCAGUUAAGUCUAAAAUCGGCAUAUGUUUACGCCGACUUAAAAGUGAAAAAGAAUAAGUCAAGUAUAUAGAGAGAAGGCCAAAAACCGAGAAGACACACACGCUUCUCGACAUAAGAGAUAGGAUUUUCAUUAUUUACCUUGUUUUUGCCGAGUUGACCUAAUCUCCUAGAAUCCUUUUUUCUCUUGUAAUUGGUCUUUUAUCAAUCAAUAAAACAUUUUUCAAUAGUUCACUAUAAAUUCAUGCAUACAUCCUCCUCUACGUGCCAAAUUCGGAUUAACAUUCACUAGGCAUCAUUCUUCUCAUAUACUAAAAGUAAGUGAAAAUUAGUAUAUUUCCCGGAUAAAUGAAGAAGAUUAUCUUAUGCUGGUUUCUUAGUUCUUGGUGACUUCCUUCAAACAUUCAGGAAAUUUUGUGCCUUCAUGCCUCAGAGACAGAGGCGGUCUUGAGGGGAGCAGGAUGAAACGACCACCUAGGAACCCCCAGUUUAAAAAAAAAAAACAGCAAAAAUAAUUACCAAGUGGACCACCAAUUUUUUAAUUUAUCAAAAAAAAAAAAAAACCCCACUGCAUUUUCACUCUUUGUAGAUCGUCAGUCUUUUCUUUCUUUUUUUGUGCUCACUCGAGUGUGUGAGAGAAACCCCAAGUUCUUUCACGCAACUUGCAUGUUAUCCAAAAAAUCUCAAACCCUUUUAUCUCUUUCUCCCUUGUCCUUAUAUAUCUUGUUCGAUUAGCUUUAUGAUGUUAUCUUGUUGUUGAAAUCUGAGUGUAACUUUUUGGUGGUUAUGGUUGAAAUUUGCAUGAGAAAUGGUCCGGAGUACGUUCUGCUUACAUCUCAUGGCCAAUAAUUAGAUAAAAAUUGAAACUUUGGUCUGUCUGCUUAGUUUAUGAGUAAACCCUAAUCUUUACCCAUUACUUGUGUCAGUGUGUGGUCUUGGAGUUAGCUUCUUGGCUAUUUACUCUUUUGUUCUGCUUACUACUUCUGUCUGGACUUUGAAUCAGCUUCCUAGAGAUUUACUCUUUGUGAUUAUUGCUUUAGAUGAUAUGUCUGAACUUAGAAUGUCUGAAAGUGGAAUAUAUGAACUUGGAGACGUGUGAACUCCGUGUCUGUGCUACCGGUUGGGCUCUGUUCUUCGUGUAUUUUAAACUUAUUUACCAAACUUGGAGAUAGUAUGUCUGAACUUAAAAUGUCUGCUCGUGGAAUUUACUCUUUGUGAUUCUUGCUUCAGAUGAUAUGUCUGAGCUUGAAAUGUUUGGAACUUGGAAUGUCUAGAACUUGGAGAUAUCUGAACUUGAAUUGUCUGAAAUUGGAAUCAGCGAGCACUUUUUCGUCUUCUCUUUGUGAUUCUUUCGUGUUUUUAGGCAAACCUAUAACGUGUUUCCCUUUGUCUCUAGGUCGUUUUCCUGAUUCAGUUGUUUCGGAUGUCUGAAAACAUGAGCAGCCACCACCUUCUCGAGUACCCAGAAGUCACUACCCGAGUCUCUCCCUCGUCUCCAAGAGUUUCAGGAAACUCAUUGCCUCGACUAAGCUCUACAAGAGGCGAUCUCAGCUUGGUAUCACCGAACACAGUGUCUAUGCUCUCCACUGCAACCGCAAUACGGGUGACUGCUGUUUCUACAUCCUCCCACCGGAAAGUCAACUCCAGUAACCGCUUGGUCAUCGUCCGAUCACUUCCUCCCAUGUCUUACGUGGAAGCUUUGUCCCAGUGGGUUCCAAGACAUAUGUGUUUAACGAUCUAGAAGCCCUCAGCAUUGACUGUACCUCUCACACGGUGCAGGCAAUCUCCGACAUGCCUCAGCGCAUGCCUAGUAAAGUUGCUAAUGUCAUCGACCGGAAGGUUUACCUGAUUGGCGAUUAUAAGCUUUGCAUGAAGGAUUUUAGGAAUCAACAUUCGCUUGUUUUUGAACCAAAGGAAAGCAUGUGGGAGGUGAACGAGAUGUUGAACUCUAAGGAGUGGCAGGGUGCGCGUGUGGUUGAUGAUGUCCUCUACUAUCACGAUUGUUCCGGGAAGGUCUUGAGGGCGUUUGAUCCAAAGCAGAGCUGCGGAGACUGCCCAAUCCAAGUGGUCCAAAGCAGUGAAGUGCGGUGAGAAGAAGAUGGCUCUCUUCUUUCCUAAAAAGCAUGACGGCAAUGAGAUCACUUGCUGUGCAGAUAUCGUUUUCGAAAGGCGACAAGGAGGAGAGUUUUGGGGUAUGAUGGAGUCAUGUGAUGUUGUCGUUGAGGAUGGGCUGUUGUUUGACAUGGUGAAAUGUGUGUCUGUUGCUGUUUCAUGCAGCAUAAUAAUAUCUAUUUAGAUCUUUCGUAUUUUAAUUAUCCUAAAUGCCAUCUCGUGUGGUUGUAAGUUUUCUAACAUCGUUUAUAUAAGGCAAAACAUUAGGAGCGGUGUGUUUUAUGUUGUUGUUUACUAUGUUGUAUUCUUAAAUCAAAAAGGAAGAGACACAGAGAAAGAAAGAGGCAAAUAGAAUGUGAGUUGGGUUCAUACCUAUCUAUACUCCCUAUCUAUCAUUUUCGCGUAAUCGUAGUUAUACCUUCAAUCUUCUUGCGCCAAAUUGUUAAGCUAAAUUUGUGCAGAGUUUUUUUUUUUUGUGAUACUAUGAAUACAAUAAGCAAGGAAUAAAAAGUAUGAUCAUGGAUCGAACGUAAUUUAUUAUUGAUCUAGAGAAUCAGGAAUAUGCUGAUGAUACAUAAAUAAAUUAAAAAAGAGUCAGGAACAUUGGAUAGUCAGUCUCUUAUUUUAGGAUUUGGAUCUCCCUUUUAUAGAUUACUAGAUAAGGUCCGUGCGUUGCAACGGGUUUUGUUUGAUGUUUUAGUAAAAACAUAAAAAUAAUAAAUCAUUUUGUUAUAGAUUGAGGAUUUUUUUGUUUGCAUAAGUUGUGAGAUAUUUAUUUUCUAAUUACAAACUCAUUUACACACUCAAAUUCCAAUUCUAGACUAAUGGUUUAGAAUUGAGGGGUGUGGUAGGUUUUAGAAAUAUGGAAUUUAUGAUUCUAAUAAAUAUAAAUACUUAAUUUUUUUAAAAAAAAAAUUAGGUUAACUAAAUAUAAUUAACUCAUUUAAGCUAACAUAAAUAUAUAUAUAUAUAUAUAUAUAUAUAUAUAUAUAUAUGUUAACUAAUAUUGAGCUUCAUAAACUUCAUUAUUCAUUUAAGGAUUUUCAGUCAUAUCGCCAAGAUUAACUAAGCAACCAUCAUCAUAGCUGAAACUAAUAGAAAUAAUAAAAAUUAGUGUAUUAAAUUUUCUUCAACCAAUUAGAGUUACCUAAUAAAAUUAACAUCCAAAUGUUUUCAUUAGAAUUUAGUUCAGAAGAUGCUUAUAAAAAAUUUACACUUUGAUAUCUCUUGAUAAAAGACUUUCAUGAUAAUAACAAUAUUAUCACAUUUCAUAGCGCGAUAUAUAUCUUCAAAUAGUUCUACUUGUCCAAUUCAUAAUGUUGUUUGUAUUUCAAUUUUACUAUAUAGAAUAAAGUUUUUGUAGAAAAAAAAAACUGAAAUUGCUUAAUGGAAUUGGACUAAUAAUUCAUUGAGAAAAAGUGCUACAGUUAUUUAUAGAAAAAUACCUCCUUAACUAAGUUAGAGUAACUCUUCAGAGGAUUGGUGUAGUCUGACAAUGAACAUCAGCUUUUAAAUAUUAUUGAUAUAUCAAUUACACAUCUGUAACAAAAAAGUUAUACAUAUAUAUAUAUAUAUAUGUAUAUGUAUAUAAAUGCAUGAAUAUUAUCAUCUAAUUAAAAGUUUCUUGUAUCUUUAAGUUGAGCAAAAUCUUUGUAGUUGAAAUCAAAUUUUUUUUACUGUGUAUUUGAGGUAAUGGUUGUUUCACACAUAUGCAGUUGUUGUUCUCUCAAUCACUCUUAUCUGAAAUUUAUGAUCGGAGCCUUUAUAGUUCUUACUGCAAUCUUGCACAUUAUAAAUAGAAGAUAUCGAUAAUAAUUCCUUCACAUAGUUCAUCUCCAAGCUUUCAAGAAGAGAAUGAUGCACACAACCUUGAUUGUAUUUUGCUACAUAAUAAAAAAUCAAUUUGAAUAAAAAGUUAUAAAAUAUUUUUUAAAACUUUACCUUUAUUAAGUAUGAUAUAUUCCUUCCUAUAAGUUCAUUAUUAUUUUUUUCAAAUUUCUUACAUUUUAAUACUUUUAAAUGAUUUAGUGUUCAAUAACCUUAUGAAUUCAUUGUUUCCUUGAUAAUACAUGAUAGCAAAUUAAGUAACAAUUUCAGUUAGAAAAUAUUAAAUCUACUUUUUUCAAACAUAGUCUUAUUGUAAGAAGUGUCUAGUUAACCUUUUGACUAAACCCUCGUGACAAUCAAAAUCAUUACAAUUGUUGUUGAUUUUAAAGUUAUUAGCUAACUCGCAUAACCAUUAUAAACUGUUUAUACUGCUUUUUUGUUUAGAUUUGAAGAAAAAAAUAAAAAUACAAUUAAACAGUCUUCAACAAUUUUAUUUUGUAGAAGAUUUGAUAAAAGGAUAAUUACUAUCAAACAAAUUUUUACAAUUAUAUUUUCUUUAUGAUUUUAGAAAACGAAAAUUAGUAUUAAGUAAAUUAUUAUACAUAUUUUUUUGUUUAAGAAUUAUAAAAAGCAAAAAAAAUUAGAAAAAGGAAAUUAUUGUCAACUAAAAACUAUCAAAUAAUCUUUUGUUAUUAUCUUUGUUUAGGAUUUUGGAAAACGAAAAUUACUAUUAAAUAAUUCUUGUGUUAUUAUCUUAUUAUAAUUAUAUUAUUAAUUAUGAUAUAUUAAGCAAUUAUGUUUGGUGACAAAAUAUAGGAGAAUUUAAUCUUAUAUAUAGAUGUGAAUAAUUGUAAUCCUUUCAGUUACAAAAUAAAUAGUGUAAUCCUUUUUGGAUUAUGAUUUCUUAAACAGAAAAUUUACUAUUUAAAUAAUAGAGUCUAUUAUUAUAUGAAAAUAUUUGAAAUAAUUAUUUUUCAUUUCUUUUUAGAUUUGAAGAAAAAAUAGAAAACUACAAUUAAACACUCUUUAACAAUUUUCUUUUGUAGAAGAUUUUAUAAAUGGAUAAUUACUGUCAAACAAAUUUUCACAAUUAUAUUUUUUUAGGAAAUGAAAAUUAGAAUUAAGUAAAUUAUCUUACAUGUUUUUUUAGGAAUUGUAAAAAGAAAAACAAUUAUAAAAAUAAAAUUAUUGUCAACUAAAAAAAUAUCAAAUAAUCUUUUGCUAUUAUCUUUAUUUAGUAUUUUAAAAAACAAUUUUACAAAACGAAAAUUAGUAUUAAGUAAAUUAUUAUACAUAUUUUUUUUUAGGAAUUGUAAAAAGGAAAAAAAUUAGAAAAAGGAAAUUCUUGUCAACUAAAAACCAUCAAAUAAUCUUUUGCUAUUAUUAUCUUUGUUUAGUAUUUGAAAAUAGAAAAUUACUAUUAAAUAAAUUUUUGUGUUAUUAUCUUAUUAUAUUUAUAUUAUUAAUUAUGAUAUAUUUUAACACAUGUCAUUAUCUUAAAUUUUUAAUUGCCAUGUGUCAUCGUCAUGUUAAUUAGCAACUUUGAAUAAUCAAGCUUUAUAUAAUAAAAUCCUUAAUCGUGAAUUAUGGUAGAUCAUUUUAUGUCUUGAAAUAGAAAAAUCAUCUUUAGUAGAAAUUUUUCAUUUUAUCCGAAGGCUAGGAAAAACUCAGUCCUAGAGUCAUAACUCGUCUAGGCAGAAGAAGAAUCUCGACGUCCUUCUUUUAAGCAGGAAAAAUGAUUUUAUGUAUUAAUUAUCCCAAAAAUUUAUAAUAUAUUUGACAAGAAAUAAUGCAUUGCGUAGUAAAAUAUGUGAAUGUUCACUUGGCAAAAAUAAAAUUUGCAGUUCUAUGCACAAAUGCUAUAUGGCUUAAUUGGUAGAAGUUGCGGUUUGAUUUUUUGGCUUUGAAAUAUAGAAGUUUAGCUUCUUUUAUUAAACUUGUUUAGGGGUGUUAGUGGGAAUAAAAUUUAUAUAGAUUUUGUUGAUUUUAAAAGUUGAAAAAUUUGUUAAAUGUGAAAAGAGCUAGAGAGAAUGUUGUUUAUUGUGAAAAUUUAGCAAAAUAAAUUACUAUAAUGAUUUUAAGAAUCUAAGAGAUAUAUGUAGUAUUCUCAAAAUCUUGUUAUAUAUGUGUUAAAUAGUUAAGAAUACAACUUCCAUUAACACUAAUUUUAAUAUAUCUAUAUAAUCAUUAAAAUCCAAAUUUUUAGAAUAACAAAAUAUUUUAUAAAAUUAUAAAAUCGUCAUCCUAAUAAGACGUGAAAAUCUAUAAACCAAUAAUAAUAGAUUCUUUAAAUUAUAACAAUCAUUAUAAUGUAACUCUCACAAUCUUACUAACACCCCCUAAAUAACAUUUUAGGAUAUUUUAAUAUGGCUAAAUUUUACCAUAGUUUAAAAGAUGAGAGAGAUAAAUAGAAUUAUUGGUAGAAAUUGUUGUUUUAUUUUGUUCUUCGCUUAAAAAUAGAAAUCUAUUUUUUGUUUAUUAACCUUGUUUAAAUGAAAUUUUAGGAUAAUAUGGUUAAACUUUAAGCAUGGUUUAAAACAUGAGAGAGAUAAAUAGAAAUCUGUUACAAAACAUAAAUACAUGAAAUCAAGAGCUUUUCUAAUCCCACUUGUGUUUUGGCUUUGGUGUCGGUCACUUUUAAAAAAUUGUAAUGCCUAUAUAAACAAACAUCUUUGAGAUAGAAAAGGAAAAAGACCUGUUUGUGUUCGAUGUCCAACUCCGAAGAGCAACCCCGUGCGAAGAAGACCAAGAGACGAGCGUUUCCGUUAUCGUGUUUGCCAGAUGAUUUGGUUCUGAACUGCCUUGCUAGAGUCUCGAGACUAGACCUCGCGGCCUUAUCUAUGGUCUCCAAACGCUAUCACUCUCUAGUGGCGUCGCCUGAUCUCUACAAGAUUCGAUCGCUGAUUGGUCGCACCGAAACAUACGUCUACGUAUGCUUACGAAUCCCUACUCCUGUUCCAAGCGUGCAAUGGUAUAUCCUCCGCCGUAGAAAAACCCUGGACGCCUCUGACCUGAUUCCGAUCCCUUCGCUCCCCUCCCAGCCUCUGGAAGCAUCCUCCGUGGUGGUGCUGGACUGUAGCAUAUAUGUAAUCGGUGGGUUGAUAGAGGGAGAGCAGCGCACUUCAGAUGUCUGGCGCUUGGAUUGUCGGACUCACGUGUGGCACCCUGUCCCUUGCAUGGGAGUGGCUAGAGCUUACGGGGCUGCUGGUGUUGUAGACGGGAAGAUAUACGUGUUUGGAGGAUGUGAUGUCCAUGAUAACUAUGGAGAGGUAUUCGACCCGAAGACUCAGACUUGGAAUCCUUUGCCGCCUAUGCCGAAACGGAAGAAGCAUAUCCACAGCAGUAUGGUGAGGGAUCAAAAGGUUUAUGCAUUGGAUGACAAGGAGAGAACGUUUUACUACUCGCCGAGGGAAGGUAAAUGGGGAACAGGGAAUCGCGGACAACUGGUAGGAUACCGAAGGGAUUGGUGUAUGGUUGAUAACUUGCUCUUUUGUCUGAGCAAAAACGGAGUUAUAUUGUGGUGCGAGCCGGGUGAGUUGGAUUUGCGUGAAACAGAGAGGGUGAUGAAGGUAGAGGCGGUCAGGGGUUUUACUUAUAGAUCUCUCUACCAGAAGCUCUUUCUUUCCAGACUUGUCCACUAUGGUGAUCAGAUUAUUGAUCGUUGGGAAGAAAAGUGGAUCAUGGAUGGUCGACCCCCGUUAAAGAUUCCCAAAAGUUGGAAAAAGUUCAGGUUCGAACGUUUACGUCCAGGUGCCAGAAUGUGCAGCUCCGGUGGGAAGAUUGUGCUUUUCUGGGACGAGAUUUCAUUGGAGGGAGGAUAUCUUCAUCAUAUUUGGUGGGCGGAGAUUUCAUUGGAGAGACUCCAAGGAGGCGAGAUUUGGGGCUACAUUGAACGGUCUAAUAUUCUCAUGCCUGUUGAACCUGUUAAAGCCCACAAGAAGGCCUUUAAGAUAACAGCAUAUACUGAAUAUCACUGCCCCUUAAAUCCACCCACAAAUAGCCUCUGUCAAUGACAUCUUCCUUCUCUUUGCAACUACUGUUGCUGGAUGUAGUGAAGAAGAUACCGCUGCUGUUGUCUUAUUCUUUUUCUUGGCAUCUCCAGAUGCAGAUUGAGCUGUUCUAGCUAGCUAGCUGCUUGGAUUGUAAGUACCGAGUUUUAGCCUGAGAUUUCUCCUGGGAAUCAGAAUAAGUUGCUGUUGAUGGUAGUAGUGAUAAGUGUAAUACUUUUGGUUGGCAUAACUCUGUCCAAAGUUUCCAUCAGCUUCGUGUUUCCAUUACACAGAUUUCCCAUUCCAUUCUUCAGUCCUCUGAUAAGACGCAAUUGAUGUAGGGUUUUGUUUCUCCUACAUAUAUUUUAGUGCUGAUGUCCAAGUACUCAUCUCUUCAUAGUGACAACUGCAAAUAAUGUGAUAUGGUUAAUUCAUGAACUGAUGUGUUGUCUAUCUUUGGUAUCUAUUCAUGAACUGUUCAUUACACUCAAACAGAAGAAGCGAAUACCCCAUGUAAGGAUCCACAUCAUGUAGUUCAGCUCGAUAUUAGAGGAAAUAUAUUUGUGUUCAAGAUUAACAAAGAAGGUGAGACCAUUCUUGAAGAACAACACACGGAGAAACAAUGAGGAUGACACCAAAUUCAGAUGGUUCUAAUAUAUUAUUGUUAGUACCUUUUGCUUUACUUCUCUCUGCAUAGUCUUGGUUACCACCCCAUCAGCAUGUUUUAAAAGUCCAUCCUGGCAAAGGUUUAGGAGUUUUAGACACCUAACGCCAAUGAGUGGGAUCCAUUCAAUCAUAUUCGAACAUUGUCCUUCUUCUUCCAUCGAUUGAUAAGUUAGUUAGAGGCAAUGAUUUGGAGUAGCGCUAAUUUGGAGCCUUUGCUUGCAACAGCUGCAUGUUAUCGCACCAACUUGAUUCCCUAUACGGCUCUAAUUACUUCUAAAAGACUUUUUCUUUAAAGUGUUUUUUUUUGUCAACAACCAAUACUUUAAUUUUAGGUAUUGACAAUGUGUGUUAAAUUUGGUAUGUCAUGUUUCGAUGACAACUAAAAGUAUAACUUUUUAAA